RNAcentral lists this ribosomal RNA (1314 nucleotides) under Phomopsis mali. RNAcentral's name for it is "SSU rRNA". It matches the Rfam family "Eukaryotic small subunit ribosomal RNA", at positions 68 to 1415 of the family's 1831-position model. The record is from RNAcentral. Lineage: Eukaryota; Fungi; Ascomycota; Sordariomycetes; Diaporthales; Diaporthaceae.
AGCACCUAAACGGCGAAACUGCGAAUGGCUCAUUAAAUCAGUUAUCGUAUAUUUGAUAGUACCUACUACAUGGAUAACCGUGGUAAUUCUAGAGCUAAUACAUGCUUAAAACCCCGACUUCGGAAGGGGUGUAUUUAUUAGAUUAAAAACCAAUGCCCUUCGGGGCUCACUGGUGAUUCAUAAUAACUUCUCGAAUCGCAUGGCCUUGUGCCGGCGAUGGUUCAUUCAAAUUUCUGCCCUAUCAACUUUCGACGGCUGGGUCUUGGCCAGCCGUGGUUACAACGGGUAACGGAGGGUUAGGGCUUGACCCCGGAGAAGGAGCCUGAGAAACGGCUACUACAUCCAAGGAAGGCAGCAGGCGCGCAAAUUACCCAAUCCCGACUCGGGGAGGUAGUGACAAUAAAUACUGAUACAGGGCUCUUUUGGGUCUUGUAAUUGGAAUGAGUACAAUUUAAAUCCCUUAACGAGGAACAAUUGGAGGGCAAGUCUGGUGCCAGCAGCCGCGGUAAUUCCAGCUCCAAUAGCGUAUAUUAAAGUUGUUGCAGUUAAAAAGCUCGUAGUUGAACCUUGGGCCUGGCUGGCCGGUCUGCCUCACCGCAUGCACUGGUCCGGCCGGGCCUUUCCCUCUGGGGAGCCGCAUGCCCUUCACUGGGUGUGUCGGGGAACCAGGACUUUUACUGUGAAAAAAUUAGAGUGUUCAAAGCAGGCAUAUGCUCGAAUACAUUAGCAUGGAAUAAUAGAAUAGGACGUCGCGGUUCUAUUUUGUUGGUUUCUAGGACCGCCGUAAUGAUUAAUAGGGACAGUCGGGGGCAUCAGUAUUCAAUCGUCAGAGGUGAAAUUCUUGGAUCGAUUGAAGACUAACUACUGCGAAAGCAUUUGCCAAGGAUGUUUUCAUUAAUCAGGAACGAAAGUUAGGGGAUCGAAAACGAUCAGAUACCGUUGUAGUCUUAACCAUAAACUAUGCCGACUAGGGAUCGGGCGGUGUUAUUUCUUGACCCGCUCGGCACCUUACACGAAAGUAAAGUUUUUGGGUUCUGGGGGGAGUAUGGUCGCAAGGCUGAAACUUAAAGAAAUUGACGGAAGGGCACCACAAGGGGUGGAGCCUGCGGCUUAAUUUGACUCAACACGGGGAAACUCACCAGGUCCAGACACAACUAGGAUUGACAGAUUGAGAGCUCUUUCUUGAUUUUGUGGGUGGUGGUGCAUGGCCGUUCUUAGUUGGUGGAGUGAUUUGUCUGCUUAAUUGCGAUAACGAACGAGACCUUAACCUGCUAAAUAGCCCGUGCCGCCUAGGCGGCACGCCGGCUUCUUAGA